This 537-nucleotide long non-coding RNA is filed under the name Monodelphis domestica (gray short-tailed opossum). RNAcentral describes it as "lncRNA (ENSMODG00000032337.2)". The record is from RNAcentral. Lineage: Eukaryota; Metazoa; Chordata; Mammalia; Didelphimorphia; Didelphidae.
AAAAUAAUGAUAAUUUGAUAUUUUUCAUUUCACUGGUUUAAGAUGUUCGACUUUAAGCUGAGAGUUCUGAGUAAUCUUUCUGUUUCAACAACUUUCUGUCUUUUGACUGUUUCUUCCCAUAACUUUCUCAUCUUUACUAGACAAUUAAGACAAGAUCUGAUUUGAGAGCUCAAAUGUCCACUUGUCCUUUUGUUAGGAUGCAUUCCUUCACUUAGAUAUGCAAUUCAAUUUGAUUGCUUAUAGAUAACUUUGUUCAAAAGAGGGAAGAGUACCUUAAAUUUAUACAAACUUCUUUGGAAUACAGCAUAUGUUUAUGUGAUUCUGUGGAAUCUCUAUGUGGUGUUACAUAUUGCUGGCAGAUACACAGAAAUGGAAGCCAGAAGUAACAUCCAGCUCCUGGUACCACUAAUAUUCCUUGGUGUCCUCUGCUCACAAACACAUGAAAUAUAUUCUACAUCGAAGUCAGUGAGCAAAGAAGGGCAAAUUGCGACAAAAAAUGACUUUGAUGAAAAAGAGUUUGUUAAAAGAGGAAAGUGA